Molecule: long non-coding RNA, 634 nt
Organism: Saccostrea cuccullata (small rock oyster)
Lineage: Eukaryota; Metazoa; Mollusca; Bivalvia; Ostreida; Ostreidae
Exons: 2
Source: RefSeq, a predicted model, not a curated record
GUGUUUUUAAUGAUAAAACUAAACAAAACCUUUCUUGGGUACUGUACGGCUAAUUGAGGAUAACAGUACGGCAUAUUGCUAGAUUGCGCAUAUCAAAGUGUACGGCAUUUUGAUUAUUUCAUUAACUUGUCUCUUUUUUAACAGAUUUUUUUCAUUUGAUUUCAGAUAUUAGGACUAUUUGCCUGCUUCUAUUGCAAAGCAACAGCGUCCUCCUGUGAGGAUAUCGUCACCCAAAUGUUAUUUCAUAAUACAUAAGUAAUAAUCGAAGAAAAAAUGUGUUACACACCUUCAAUUUUCGUAUUAUACCAAACAUUUGCCAAGAGCAAGCUAUAGGGAAUUUAUUUCAAUAAUAUAAACUAUGAUAAGGGGAAAAUUGAUAUACUUUAAGGCCUACCCAAAUUUCUUGAGUGAAAUCAUUCCUAGGGACCAAUUAUUUAAUUCAGAAGAAAUGACGAAAAGAACAUGCAGCAAGGAGAAAAUUAACGUUGAUGCCCUAGACGCAGCAGCCCAUAGCUACGAAGCUGCGCCAGUACGACAGCAUCAUAAAUGUGAUCAAAGCAAAAUAUUGACAUAGAAAAAAUAUUAAAUUGAGAAAUUUCAGCGUUUCUGUUAAAUUCACAACUAAAACGAAAAA